UACAGAGGGUGCAAGCGUUGUUCGGAAUUCUUGGGCGUAAAGGGAGUGUAGGCGGCUUGUUAAGUCUUCUGUGAAAUCUACGGGCUCAGCCUGUAACGUGCAGAGGAAACUGGCGAGCUUGAGUGUCGGAGAGGAUAGGGGAAUACCCGGUGUAGAGGUGAAAUUCGUAGAGAUCGGGUGGAACACCAGUGGCGAAGGCGCCUAUCUGGCUGACAACUGACGCUGAGACUCGAAAGCAUGGGGAGCAAACAGG
Molecule: ribosomal RNA, 253 nt
Filed under: uncultured bacterium
Lineage: Bacteria
Description: partial 16S ribosomal RNA
Rfam family: Bacterial small subunit ribosomal RNA
Source: RNAcentral